CAUCAGUCGGCAUGCCAAGGGUGGGAUCAAUUGGCUGCACAAGCUCCUGCUCCAGAAGAGGGGGCUCAAGACCAGGAAGGCAGCAGACCUGUGGUGCCAGGACGGGCUCCAUGACCCCAAGCGCCUGGGAUAUAGAAAUCUGGCCAGGGUGGGAGAGGUCUUCGGAGAAAUAUUCACCGAAGACCAGAAGAGGAGUUUCCUCCAGGCGGGCCUGCUGGCCAUCCACCACCCCCACAACCGCAUCAGCCAUGCUGGCCUGGUGCUGACGUAUUCCAUCGUGGGGGAAGCCGGCCAGCUGCUAGAGGACGAGGGGGAAAUUACAAACAAAAUCAUGGGACAGCUAUUUAAUAUCAGGUUCAUGGGCAAGCUGCCCGACGCCCUGAAGGGGCUGUGCUCCGUGGGGCAGGAUUGAAGGCCCCCCCCCCUCGCAUGACCAGCUCGGACCCCCUGCCGCAGCCUUGCUCCAGGCCCUCCACCCACCCGCUGCACAGCAUUGCCUCCUCCUCCUCCUGAUCUUCCCCAACACCUUCAGUUUCAACUACAUGGCUUCGACCUCUGCAUGGAUAUGGACAUUGGUUCAUACUUCUGCCCACCCGGCUUCGACCUCCGGCCUGGACAUUGACACUGGCUCCGGUUCUGCCUGCACAUAUUCAACACCUGGCAGCAGUAGACAGGCCCCAUGUAGUGAGGCGGCCUGGCUCCCAGGCGCACCUGAGAGGGAUAAGCCAGAUCAGCUGCUUCAGUGGGCGGAGCCACCGCCACCUGUCCCCGCCCCCCGGAAGUCAAGGGGCGGGACAGGAAGUACAAAGGCCCGGGCCCAGCGCUCAGUUGGAGCCCGACCGUGGGAGGAGACAGACGCUGGUGCCCGAGCUCCUGCCGAACCAAACCUGCCCCAAGCCCGGUACCCAGAGGACGCCUGGUCGAACCUGCCCCUAGCCCGGUACCCAGAGGAGGACUGGCCGAGCCUGCCCCGAACCCGGUACCCCGAGGAUGACUGGUCGAGCCUGCCCUGAACCCGGUACCCAGAGGAGGACUGGCCGAGCCUGCCCCAAGCUCGGUACCCCGAGGAGGAGUCGAGCCCACCGGUACACCCAUCUCCUGAGGAGCCGAUGCUGGUAGACCCCCCUGCUGAAGCCGCAACGACACAGGCACCAGUGGAGGGGGAGAGUGGAAGUGGCCCGGGGAUAGCCGACCCUAGUCUGGCUGCCGCUGACCCUGAGCCUAUGUCAGUGUGUUGCGGCCAGGAUC
Mauremys mutica (yellowpond turtle) is the source of this 1248-nucleotide long non-coding RNA. RefSeq lists it as uncharacterized. The record is from RefSeq and is a predicted model, not a curated record. NCBI's taxonomy places the organism in Eukaryota, Metazoa, Chordata, Testudines, Geoemydidae. The transcript has 5 exons.